AGGGUGUAAACGCUGCAGACUUGGUGUUGGAAGCCCUUUGGGGGCAUUCAGUGCCGGAGAGAAGUUGUUAAGUCUGCUACUUGGGGAGUACGUCCGCAAGGAUGAAACUUAAAGGAAUUGGCGGGGGAGGCACCGCAACGGGAGGAGCGUGCGGUUUAAUUGGAUUCAACACCGUAAACUCACCAGGGAAGACUGUUACAUGAAGGCCGAGAUGAAGACUCUGCUAGAUUUUCAGAGAGGUGGUGCAUGGCGUCAGUGACU
Molecule: ribosomal RNA, 261 nt
Filed under: uncultured archaeon
Lineage: Archaea
Description: partial 16S ribosomal RNA
Rfam family: Archaeal small subunit ribosomal RNA
Source: RNAcentral